GACGAACGCUGGCGGCGUGCUUAACACAUGCAAGUCGAACGGAAAGGCCCUGCUUUUGUGGGGUGCUCGAGUGGCGAACGGGUGAGUAACACGUGAGUAACCUGCCCUUGACUUUGGGAUAACUUCAGGAAACUGGGGCUAAUACCGGAUAGGAGCUCCUGCUGCAUGGUGGGGGUUGGAAAGUUUCGGCGGUUGGGGAUGGACUCGCGGCUUAUCAGCUUGUUGGUGGGGUCGUGGCUUACCAAGGCUUUGACGGGUAGCCGGCCUGAGAGGGUGACCGGCCACAUUGGGACUGAGAUACGGCCCAGACUCCUACGGGAGGCAGCAGUGGGGAAUAUUGCACAAUGGGCGGAAGCCUGAGGCAGCAACGCCGCGUGCGGGAUGACGGCCUUCGGGUUGUAAACCGCUUUCGCCUGUGACGAAGCGUGAGUGACGGUAAUGGGUAAAGAAGCACCGGCUAACUACGUG
RNAcentral lists this ribosomal RNA (468 nucleotides) under uncultured bacterium. RNAcentral describes it as "partial 16S ribosomal RNA". It matches the Rfam family "Bacterial small subunit ribosomal RNA", at positions 28 to 507 of the family's 1533-position model. The record is from RNAcentral.